GACGAACGCUGGCGGCGUGCUUAACACAUGCAAGUCGAACGGAAAGGCCCCUUUGGGGGUACUCGAGUGGCGAACGGGUGAGUAACACGUGAGUAACCUGCCCUUGACUUCGGGAUAACUUCAGGAAACUGGGGCUAAUACCGGAUAGGAAUCCUUGCUGCAUGGUGGGGGUUGGAAAGCUUCGGCGGUUUUGGAUGGACUCGCGGCUUAUCAGCUUGUUGGUGGGGUAGUGGCUUACCAAGGCUUUGACGGGUAGCCGGCCUGAGAGGGCGACCGGCCACAUUGGGACUGAGAUACGGCCCAGACUCCUACGGGAGGCAGCAGUGGGGAAUAGUGCACAAUGGGCGGAAGCCUGAUGCAGCAACGCCGCGUGCGGGAUGACGGCCUUCGGGUUGUAAACCGCUUUCAGCAGGGGCGAAGCUUGUGGUGACGGUACCUGCAGAAGAAGCACCGGCUAACUACGUG
Molecule: ribosomal RNA, 465 nt
Filed under: uncultured bacterium
Lineage: Bacteria
Description: partial 16S ribosomal RNA
Rfam family: Bacterial small subunit ribosomal RNA
Source: RNAcentral